RNAcentral lists this unclassified non-coding RNA (418 nucleotides) under soil metagenome. RNAcentral describes it as "partial contains 5.8S ribosomal RNA, internal transcribed spacer 2, and large subunit ribosomal RNA". The stretch from base 1 to 120 matches the Rfam family "5.8S ribosomal RNA", at positions 35 to 154 of the family's 154-position model. The record is from RNAcentral.
GAUGAAGAACGUAGCGAAAUGCGAUAAGUAAUGUGAAUUGCAGAAUUCAGUGAAUCAUCGAAUCUUUGAACGCAUCUUGCGCUCCUUGGUAUUCCUUGGAGCAUGCCUGUUUGAGUAUCAUGAGCAAAUCUCAAAGUCAAUUCCUUUUGUUGAUUCAAUUGGUUUUGCUUUGGACUUGGAGGCCUUGCAGAUUUCACAGUCUGCUCCUCUUAAAUGCAUUAGCUGGAUCUCAGUAAUUAUGCUUGGUUCCACUCGGCGUGAUAAGUAUCACUCGCUGAGGACACUGUUAAAAAGGUGGCCAGGAAAAUACUGAUUGAACCGCUUCUAACGGUCUAUUAAGUUAGACAAUUACCCUUAAGUUUGAUCUCAAAUCAGGUAGGGCUACCCGCUGAACUUAAGCAUAUCAAUAAGCGGAGGA